GACGUAGGGCGCGAGCGUUGUCCGGAUUUAUUGGGCGUAAAGAGCUCGUAGGCGGCUUGUCGCGUCGACCGUGAAAACUCGCAGCUCAACUGCGAGCCUGCGGUCGAUACGGGCAGGCUAGAGUUCGGUAGGGGAGACUGGAAUUCCUGGUGUAGCGGUGAAAUGCGCAGAUAUCAGGAGGAACACCGAUGGCGAAGGCGGGCUUCUGGUUGACUUCUGACGCUGAGGUGCGAAAGCUAGGGGAGCGAACGGG
Molecule: ribosomal RNA, 253 nt
Filed under: uncultured bacterium
Lineage: Bacteria
Description: partial 16S ribosomal RNA
Rfam family: Bacterial small subunit ribosomal RNA
Source: RNAcentral